AUAGGCUGUUUUAUUCUGCACGCUGUUAUGCUGGGUCGUGUCUUGCGGUUAAGUUGCUGGUUUAGUUGCAGUGUUUGGUAACUGGGCCAGUAGGUCCCCCACAUUUUGUAUAUUAAGUCCGUGCGCCUGCGGUUAUUUGUAUAAUUAGCACAUUUGAGUGUCUUUUCUGGGACUUUUGGUGGGGUCUCAGACUGGCAGGACAAGCACAAAUGAACAUGUGUUUUGAACGCGUUUAUUUGGAGGAAUCUAUCUCGUGUUCACAUGAAGGUGGAAAAUCCAACAAACGAGUCCAUCUCUUUUGCUUGUUUUGGGGCACUAGUGACUCUGUAUGCUUUGUAUGGGUUGCACAGGACGGAUGCGCCGUAAGCUCACUAUCCAGUCUUAUAUGCAGACGCUCAGUGUGACUGCGGGUUAUUCCAGCCCAGCAGGAGAUAACUCUUUUUGAGGAACUGAGUAAAGGGGCAAAAUUGCCACAAUAGAUAAUGUGAACAUUGCUACAUCUCUUAUAAACAUGCCUACUCACCUUCUAUAGUGUUACAGUAUGAUUUCUUUCCCGUUAAAAGGCUCAGGAAAGCCCUUUCUGAUUAUGUAUCUUGAAGGUGGGAGGAGCUUUUGAAAAACUACAAUGCAUGAGAUCUGCCCUGGGCUGUAUUUUUUCCCCCUGUCUAGCUGGUGAAUGCAGUAGAAAGUCAGGUAGCUAACGUUAGUGUUAAGACCCCAAAUAUUCUGUAUUUAUUUAGAAGCCCCUGUGCUGUGGGGGAUUACCCGUGGCUGUAUGCUGUAGUGAGAAAAAUUGAUAGGUGAAACAUAAAAUGGAUAUAGAAUCAUUCAUUCUUGAACAGGCCUGUUAACAAACUGAAGUAAGGUUUCUAAUACUUGGCUAGAAUAUAACCUCCCAGCUACACUUGCCCUUGAUUGGAUCACCAUUGUUGUAACAUGAUGGUGAGCAUACUCAGUGAAUGCACAAGAAGGAGCAAUAAAGUCCAAAAUGUGGCAAAGUACAUCUGUUAGGUGUUAGUGAAUGUUUAGUGUUUAAGUAUGAAAAUUGGUUCAUGAUGCUGAGAUGGAACAGAACGGGAAGUUAAAAAAAAAAAUUCUAGAAUGAGUAGAUCAGUGAAGGACGAGAAGAUUCCUGGGAGAAAGACCACUACGAGAGAGGAUAGACUUUUGGUCAGAAAGAGCAAGUCUGAUCGUGAUGAAGAAAAACCCUACCAAUGGACAACAUGGACCUUUAGAUCAGGCAAAACAUUAUAAAGGCAAUGUGAGGUCCUUUGUGUCGACACUCAUCUCUGUUGUGAUGGCAUCAGUGUAUUAUUUGACAUCUUUCUAGAAGAUACAGAACCAGUCAAAAGUUUCAAUACCCCUGACUGUAUGAUGAAUUAUGCUUCAACUAUAAACCUGCAUAGAAUGGCUUAAUUUUGGUGUUUAGUGGAUAAACAAAAGAGAAAAAAAAAUGUAAGAACAUUUUAGACCUCCAUGAUAUGGACAACAAAAGCAAGAGGAUUUCCCUCUGAAGCCCUGAUUAGUUAUGCUUGAAUUGUACUGUGUAUUACAGUAUUGGAAGACCAAGUGUCUUUGUUAUCUGUCCUACAAGUGAAUUAUCAUGUUACCCUUUAACCGUUAAUCUUUCCUUAGCAGUUACUAAAACUAACGAGGGUUCGUUUCUAUAAAUACACUUAAUAAUAUAAUAGAAACAUAAGCAGCAAAAAUCCAUCGUUGACACUCUGAAUGUAAAGGGAACAAAAAAUGGCAAAACGCACUCAGUUAAGCAGAGAAAAAAGAGAGUCUGUAAUUACAUUAAGAAAGGAAGGCCAAACAUUAAGACAAAUUGCAAAAGCGUUGCAAGUCUCUGUAAGCGCUGUGGCUAAGACCAUCAAACGAGUUGAAGAAACUGGUACUCAUGAAGACCGAGCGAGGUCAGGGAGGCCAAAGGUGACAUCAGAAUCGGAAAACAAGUUUAUUCGAGUCAUAAGCCUACGAGAUGGUCAAUUAAGUGCCCCUAAAAUACAAGCUCAGCUCAAUGCCACUAGAACAUCAGUUGUAUCAAUAUCAACGAUCCAAAGAAGACUGCGUGAAGCUGGCUUAGCUAGAGGGCAGAAACCCAGAAAGAGAACUGCUCAGGCCAAAACAGCCGAGAAAGUAGAGAACCGCAACAUGGAAGUCGAGUCCACUGUAUAGAUUAGCUAUCAAAAGUUUGGACACGCCUGACUGAAUGCAUGUCUUUGAAAAUUGAAGACAUUUUGAUCUAAAGGCUUAUGCUAAAAUUCUUAAUGAUUUCUAAAUUAUUUUGAUCUUGGGUGGCUCUUCAUGAAGCUAAUUGAGAAAAUGUCAAGACAUUUACAUUUAUGGCAUUUAGCAGACACAGUGUGCAAAGCUGCAUCAAAGCAAAAGGGGGCUGCUCUGAAGAAUGUUUCAGAGGAUAGUUUUGAUUUUGUUUACGUUUGGUCUCCACCUAAUUUCAUGUGUGUAGUUUAUAGUGACAGUUCACAGCUUCACUAUAAGUUCUAUAUGGAACAUUCAAAUGAAGGAAAAUUUAUCUAUAAAGGGGUGUGUCCAAACCUUUUGACUAGCACCUACAGACAUAGAAUGAGUGUGUGAGCAUGUUCUACAGUUGCUGUUCCCACAUGUAGCCCUUCUUCACUGACAAGGCGCCACUGCUGUUUUUUUUUUUUUGUUAUUUUUAAGCUCAGUUUAGGUUUUUUAGCAUGUCUUGUAUUUCUGUGUACACAUUGGCUUUCCUUUGAAAACUUUAUUUAUUUUAUAUAUAUAUAUUUUUUUUUCUUUUUAGAUAUUUCUUCCACAAAUCACUGGGGAUUAUGCUGUUUUCACUCAUUUGGAAAAUUAUAUAGCUUAGUAACAUUACUUAAGUGAACUGUUCACAAAGUCAGCAUUCAACACAAUGUUAACAAACCAUGUGGCUGCACUUAGUAAUCGGGGCUUAGUAAAUAUGUUGCUCUCUCAAAGUUACUUUUAACAGUAACGGUUUCCAGAAUAGAAUAGAACUGAAGACAUAAUUGAACUCCAGUAAAAACAAAAAUAGUAUUUUAUUACAAAACAAAAUUUUAAAAUACUCAUUUUUUUUCUUUUGAAAAUAGUAGAUCAACUCUUGAUCAGUUUUACUCCCAGGCCAGCAGAUUUUAUGAGGCCAGAAUUUGGCCAGCUAAGAACCUUUUUGUUUGUUUGAGCUUAGGCCCUGGUACAUUUGUUGGUGAAAAAGAGGUAGGAGCGCAAUGACUUUGGUGGUUAAAGGCAUUUUUCAGUGAACAUGGUUAUUAUAUCGUACUUCAGACAGGGUCAUCCUGUUUCAUAAGGAUCUGUGCUUUCUGGGUGCUCCUUUUGUCUUGAUCAUGCUGAAAACACAAAAUACACCUCAAAAUUAAAUAAUAGCUUACUAGUCUGGCAAAGAAAGAAUGUGGAGAAUAACUUAAAGUAAUGACCUGGCCUGCCUGGUUUCCAGACUGCAAUAUCCAGUAUCAUUUUUCAACUGAAUGCAAAAGGUGCCUUUUCCAAGAUGAAGGCACAGUUUUCAAUGCCGUUUUCACCAUUUUGAAUACCUCUGAUGAUUUCUAUACUGUACAAAGUUUAAAGUAAACUUAAAACUUACACUGUACAAUAUCUAGCAAGUGUACUUUUGACUGGUACUGUACUGUCAUGCUUCUUGAAGUAGACAGCCACGUCUUUGAGUUCAUGCUUUGGCCAGGAUGAUGGAAGCCUUUGUUAUGGGCCCGCUGUAGCUGUCUCUUAGAAAACUACAGAUGACAUCAAAGAGAAUGCCUUCAGAGCUUUGGACUCAUUGACAAUUCCCUUGAGGAAGUCUCUCUGGGGUCCCGUAUAAAGACUGAUUCUUAGCAUUCCAUUCUGAAAAUGCCCUCUCAGUCUGUCUACGUCCCUUUCCAACAUAUACUUUCACAAGUCUUUCACAGUCCGCACUGUUGCUAAGCAGAAUUCUGGUCAACCUUUGCAUCCACUAUCUUCACUAACUACCCUGGUAGAUCAGGUAUGGCUGAACUAGUCUCUUGUGUGUUGAGAUGGAGAUUAAGUCUGAAACAUCUUCUCCAGUUCCUUUCUCCCUGCUCUUUCUCAAGAUCGGUGUAGAAGAACCACUUUAGGAAGAUGGAAACAGUUGCUAUGUGGCACAGGCAGAAGAAGCAGAGUAGAGAGAUCUGUUGUCAGAGUACAUGGAGGUGAAGCAAAGCAACAGGGAGCUAGUGGUGAAAACCUGACCUGCUGGACAAGGUUUAUGGAGCAAGAGAACCCAAAAUGGUCCAGCCUGUAACAUGAAGAAUAGGAGCUCAGCCAGAGCCCCUUGUAGACCUCUCACCCUUUGUGGUUCACCCCUGGGCACAGAGAGGAAAAAAGGAGUUUAUUUCUCUUUUAUCUGAAAGUUAACUUUGAUGUUCCAGCAAUGGACAACAUCAGGAGCCCAGUUCACUGAAUUAAGGACAUCUAAAAUAAGUACAUCAGGCAAGUGGCAUUCAAUGACAGAGUUUACCACAAAGCCUAAAAUGUCUAAAAAGACAUUUUGCCUCACACAUUUAAAACUGGGAAGUUCACAAGACACCAAUAGCAUACUGAGACAUAAAAUAUGUGAUUUGUAUGAUGUUUGUACACUUCAUGAAUGUGUAUUGCAUCUGAUUUGUUGGACUGUGUAUGACAUUCUUUAGCUGUGUCAGUUGGUGUCAUGCAUGGUAAAGUCAUUUUUAGAAAAGGUUUCAUGAAUGUAAAACACCACAGUUUCAUGAUUUGGAUGUUUCCUUAUGUUGCCUCCAAGGAAUACUGUCUAGGAAGUGUGAACAAGAAUUUCAGAAUUCGUCUUUGAGUUGUGAAUUGGAUUUCCAGCCACCGUUCCUUCAAAAGCUUCAAAUAUCUGACUUCAGUCAUGUGGACUGUCUGUUUGAUCGCCACUGAUAGCUUGUGGACAGUUGAGUCAUAAGACUUUCUCCACAAACUCUAGACAAGCAGACUUGACUGAAGACAUGGCCUUUGCCGCACACCAUCUUGGACAUAACUAUGUAGGUUUUCUGCUUACCUUCUGCCUUCUCCAAAGUUAGCAUGUCUGGCUAUGUAAGUGUCUUGUUAAAUGUGUCUACUACAGCUUAGCUGAUUUUCUGUCUCAGAAUCUGCUGCUGUUGUUUGCCCGUUUAAACCUUUAGAUCAGGGGUGUCCAGUCUUAUGUACAAAUGACCAGUGUGGCUGUAGGCUUUCACACCAACAAAGCAGGAGGUUACCACUUGCAAAGACUCUUUGCAGAUUGGACACCCCUGUUUUAAAUCAUCUGAAUCACAUAGGCCUGAACUGUCUCUUAAUUCAUGAUCGUGUUAAUUUAAUAUUUUGCCAUCCAGUUUCACACUGUUGCUGUUACUUCACUGUAUCAUCUUCUGUCUCCCUGUCUUUGUGUUUAUUCUUAUAUACUGUAUUCUGUUUUGCUAUGUAUUCUUAUUAUUAAAGUUUGUGUGUUUUCAUUA
This is a long non-coding RNA of Pygocentrus nattereri (red-bellied piranha), 5465 nucleotides long. RefSeq lists it as uncharacterized. Lineage: Eukaryota; Metazoa; Chordata; Actinopteri; Characiformes; Serrasalmidae. The record is from RefSeq and is a predicted model, not a curated record. The transcript has 3 exons.